UACGGGGGGGGCAAGCGUUGUUCGGAAUUACUGGGCGUAAAGGGUUCGUAGGUGGCCAACUAAGUCAGACGUGAAAUCCCUCGGCUUAACCGGGGAACUGCGUCUGAUACUGGAUGGCUUGAGUUCGGGAGAGGGAUGCGGAAUUCCAGGUGUAGCGGUGAAAUGCGUAGAUAUCUGGAGGAACACCGGUGGCGAAGGCGGCAUCCUGGACCGACACUGACACUGAGGAGCGAAAGCUAGGGGAGCAAACGGG
This 253-nucleotide ribosomal RNA is filed under the name uncultured bacterium. Its description in RNAcentral is "partial 16S ribosomal RNA". It matches the Rfam family "Bacterial small subunit ribosomal RNA", at positions 524 to 776 of the family's 1533-position model. The record is from RNAcentral.